AAAAAUGCUUUGGAUACUAUGCGGAUGGUUUCGUCAACAGCUGUGAAUGUGAUGUUAGGGUGUUGUCGGUUCAGAUAGUCAAGAAAGAGAGGGACGUGAUC
Xenia sp. Carnegie-2017 is the source of this 101-nucleotide long non-coding RNA. RefSeq lists it as uncharacterized. The record is from RefSeq and is a predicted model, not a curated record. NCBI's taxonomy places the organism in Eukaryota, Metazoa, Cnidaria, Anthozoa, Malacalcyonacea, Xeniidae. The transcript is spliced from 2 exons.